CAGGGGACAGGAGAGACGUGGUUAUGUAAGGAGAGGGAGGAUGAGUACAGGGAAUGCACCGAGUAGAGCAGCAGCACCUCCUGACUUCCGGGCGAUUUCAGGCUGCUCAGGGAGAGAGACGUGGUGGAUACACACUCAUAUAUAUGACUACAGAGCAUGACCCUGCAAUGAAGGAAGCAGACGCAGACCCUAGGCAGGGCAUACGGAAGCCUGGCCUGCUCUAGGGAGGCGAGAAAUGCUCUCCUUAGGAAGUGAUGUCAAGGGCUUUGCUCUGGAGGAAAUCCCAGAGUGUGCAAAUAGCCAGAUAAAAACUGAUGAGAUGGACAGCAGCUGUGUGGCCGUCAGGCCUUGGGCUUGUUUACUGUGUGGCACUGGGUCGCGCGUGCCCUCUCAGAGCCCGUUUCCUCCGGUGUGAUGUGGGGACAAUAAAGAACAAGGCCAGUGCACACACUGUGGGGACUUGGCUUGUGCCUCUUUAGGAAUAUCGUUUGCAGACUGCUGUGGAACCGAGUCGCCCGGCGAUGUGGAAGAGACCCACUGAGAUCACUGUGUCAGGCCCCAGAGCUGGCGGAUGGAAGGACCUCCAAGGAGAUAUCUGUUAGUAGAGGUGGUCUGGAAUCUCUCAGGCAAGCUUGGAGCAUGCUUGGGUGGACGUAAGGGGAUAGCUAACGGCCGCAAGCCUCUGUUUCCCUCCUUCAGCAUGCUGAAGAAUCACCUCAAGCCAGGUGUGGAGGCACACGCCUUCAAUCCCAGCCCUCGGGAGGCAAAGGCAGGUGGAUCUCUGUGAAUUUGAGGCCAGCCUGGGCUACAGAGUGAGUUCCAGGACAGCCAGGACUAUGUAGAGAAACCUCGUCUUGGAAAAAAAAAAAAUCACAAGUUUUAUUUUUUAAGAAGUACAUUAGUUUAUUUAUUUUGCGUGUAUGUGUGUGGGCCUGUGUAUGAAAGCCAGAGGACAACUUUGGGGAGUCAGUUCUCUUUUACCACGUGGUUCCUGGCCCUUAAACUAGAGCUCUUGAGCUUGUCAGCCGGAGCCCUUAUGCACUGAGCCACCUCAGCAGCUUACCUGAAGGAUUCGAUUCGCCGCUACAUCACAGAUCCGGACCCACCUCUGAUUCUGGUGCCAUGUUUGGGGGAAGGUCCAGGAUUUCCCAUCCUUAACAAGAUCUCAGAGGAUUCUGAGGCUGACGGUCUGUGGACCACAGAACUCCUCCACGAUGCCAGAAGAGGGCGUUGGAUCCCCUGGGACUGGAGUCAUAGAGGGAUGUGAGCCACCAUGUGAUUGCUGGGAACCAAACUCAGAUACUCUGCAGGAGCAGGCAAGGAAGCUGUCAACAACACGUUCCCUACACCAUGAUGUUUUUCCCAAGCUUGUUGAGCUGUGCAACCAUGGACCGACCUCUCUGAAACCCCGAGUCAGACUAAACCUUUUUCCUCUUGGAGUUACUAUGUCUGGUACUGGUCACAACUAUGCCAAAGGAACUAACAUGCCCUCCAUUACCCUCAUUCUCUAUCCUUAGCAAUACCUAACCAGUCGGUGGUCACAAGGAAAUAGCUCCUUCAGGGGCUGGAGGGAUGACUCCACAGUUAAGAGCCUUUAUUGCUCUUAGAGAGGGCCCAGGUUCAGGUCCCAGCACCUACCUACAUGUGGGCUCACAACUGUCUGUAACUCCAGUUCUAGGGGAUCCAACACUCUCUUCUGACUUCUGAGGGCACCAGGCGUGCAUGAUGUACCUAUACUUAUAUACACAAAAGGAAGGAAGGAAGGAAGGAAGGAAGGAAGGAAGGAAGGAAGGAAGGAAGGAAGGAAGGGAGAAAGGAAAAGGAAGGAAGGAAGGAAGGAAGGAAGGAAGGAAGGAAGGAAGGAGCCCCUUUAAUCCCAGAACUAGGGAGGUUGAGGCUGGCAGAUCUCUGUGAGUUCCUGGCCAGCUAAGGCUACAUAGUGAGACCCUGUCUCAAUAAAGAAAAAAAAAUGUCCACGCAUGGUGCUUAGUGUAGGGUGUGGCUCAAGUCCUUCACACAGACAGUUCUCUCUGGAAUUUUCUUUGAGCUAGGGUCUUCCUCUUGACUUAGAAGGACGGCUCAAAGCGCAGCUUUAACCUCUCCUAACUGGAGUGCCAUGUGUCACCUUAGAAGUGACCAGAAAGCAAAGUAUAAAAGUGAACUCCUGUAACUCCAGCAUUCAGGUGGAUCACAGUUCUGUGCCUGCCUGGGCUGCACGGCAAGGCUGUGCCAAAAUAUACAAAACAAAACAAACAAGAUUGCCCUCGGUGCUCGGGAUGGAGCUCUGUAGAGUGUUUACCUCGCAUUCACAGAGCCUUGGGAUCGAUCCCCAGGUCUCUGGAAAUGGGGCACGGUGGAGUAUGUUUGCAAUUGCAGCACCUAAGAGGUAGAAGCCGGAGUUCAGUUAUCCUCAGCUACAGAACAAGUUGAGCUCAACUUGGGAUACAUGGGAUCCUUUCUUAAAAGAAAAAAGAAAAAUGUCCUUGGCAUUGCUGUCCCAAUGCAUUUUGUCACUUAACCCAGGGAAAAAGGCAGUUGUCUGAAGUUUUGCAGUCUGGUUAAAGACUUCUCAGGUGAGGAGAACCAGGCUCCGUGGAAAGUGACUUGCCCAAGGCCACCCAGAAGCUUGCUCUUUCUGUGCUCCAGCUCCUGCUGUGAGUCAUAUCCUCGGCAGGGGAGCAAAGGCCUGCCAAUCCUGCCUCCUUCCCCUGAAGGUGGAGACCCAGUCAGGUUUCCCAUGGCUUGAGUUUCCUACUGACUGGGAGCUGAGGCUAAGAGGUGGCCAUGGCAGGUUCCCUGCCUCUCUGGGUGGCUCUGAUCCCUCUUCGAUCCGACUUCCAAGAGGCCCAAGGUGAAGAAACUUGGCUUUGAGACCAGACCACCCACCUCAGCAGCCGAGGACUGCUUGGGUGACCAAGCAGCCAGCAAAGUGGCCCCCACCCACCCUCUGUGUUUUCCUCUAGAGCUUUUAUUGUGAGCUUAUCCUUAAGGGGGAAAAUAUCCCAUUAACUUAAAAUAGACCAGACUUAAUUAAUAGCAUGCUUUGUUCUCAGGAUUCUUAUCUGUACCGGAAGACACACCUCUUUUCGGUUUUGUGGGUCAAGGUGAAGUUGCCUCUGGGGGCUCAUAAACGGCUGCUCCAUUUUCCACUUUUGAACUCUGGUUCCCUUUGGCUUUUUCCUCCCAUGGGUAGAAGGGUUUUUCCCAACUCGUUAGCCUGGCCUGUUCACCAGGGCCUUUCCUACUCUUAGAUUGCCAGCAUGACACGUUAUAAUUAUUUCUUCUUGUAUGAUUAAUAGCUACUGUGUACUAAAUACCUUAGCCAGGCCCUCUGCUGAGGGUUUCUCAAAGUUCUGUGUGUGGCUAUUCUAAUUACAUCUAUUAGAUGAGGAAGCUGGGGACUCCCAGCUUCCACAAAGCUCCAAAAAGUAGAAGCAGGCUUUGAAUCCUGGUCUCUGUGUCUCCAAACACUCAAGGCUUACUUAUCGACAUUUACCUACGCACUCAAUGGCCACACAAUGCUAGCUUUAAAAAACAUGCUCUUAGGCAGGUGAGGUAGCUUAGGAGGUACGGGUCCUUGUUGCUAUCCUCAGCUACAGAGCGAGAUUGAGGCUAGCCUGGCUUCGGUGGGGGUUUGUCUAAAGAACAGGACAAAAAGAAGAGGACAGCAGGCUAGCUCCGAGGGUAAGGAAACUUGCUGUCAAGCCUGAUGACUGGAGUUUGAUCUCUGGGAUCCACACGAUGCAAGGAGAGAACUGACUCCUGAAAGUGGUCCUCUGACCUCCACACCCACACUGUGGCACACACCUAAGUGCCCCCACCCACCACUAACAAAUAAAUCUGCUUUUUCAAAAAGCUCUUUUUAUUCUCUUCACUUAAAAUUUCUCUUUUAUCUCUCACAGUCUUAGGAGAUAUGAACAAUAUUAUUCUAUAUCACAGAGGCUGAAACCGAGGCACAGCGAGAUGAAUUUCUUUCCCCAGUAACACCGGGAUACCGGGUAGAGCUGUAAUUUGCAUCAGAUAUGGCCUCUUAGGGAACUGGGAUCACAGCAUAAGUAGAUUAGAAGCUAAACAUCGUUGUUCGGUUUUACCCAAAUUACUUUACCUUCCUCAACUUUUUUAGUUUCUCAUCCAUAAAACUGGGAACAUUUCCUGUUUUUCAGCUUCUUGAGGUGGCUGUGAGAUUCAUAAGCGUGGGAACAGGACGGCUGUUGAGAACCUGCUGUCGGGGCCCGUCUUGGCUACAGUCCUAAUCUUGGCUUUGGAUGGCUGUAUGAUCUUUUUCAAGUUCCCUUCCAUGUUGCCUGUAUUUUUUUCUAUUUUGUAGCUCGGCAAGGUAGCAGAGGCUUAUUUAUCCAGAUACUGAUCCAGAAGGCUGAGGCAGGAGGCUCACAAAUUUGAGGCCAGCCUAGACAACUUAGCGAGAGACAGAUGCAAAGAAAAUAAUUGGAGUCUGGAAAUGCAUCUCAGGGGUAGCACAUGCACAGCGCUCACCCCAGCCCUAAAGGGAGAGAGAACUAUGGGUGGGGAGAGGAUUUUGUGAGUAGAUGGUGUCAUUUGCACUGUGGGUCAGCAGAGGCUCAAAGAUAGGAUGGUAGAGCUGGGAAGUCACUGAGAGAGGAACUGAACCCAGCUCUAUCUCAGCCCAAAGUGUGUAGCUCCUGUCACUCCCUGAAGGUCACCUGUCUUGAGAGGGUGCUGGGGAGUUUAAGGAAAAGUUUGACCUGGGGCUUGGCAAGCCCAAGCAGGGGUUUUAAUACCUUUUUGUGUGUGCACCAUGGGCAUACGGUAAAAAAAUGGUCAGAAGAGAGCGAGGCCCCAUCCCUUGGAACUGGGUUAGCAGGCAUAUAUGGGUUCGGGGAAUUGUACCCAGAUUCUCUGCGAGAGCAGCUAGUGCUCUCCACCGGUAAACCACCUCUCCAACCCCCUGCUUAAUUUUGAGACAAGCUCACACCCUGUAGCCCAAGCUGGUCUUUAAACUCAUGGUAAUCCUCCUGUUUCAACCUCCUGAGUACGAGUACUGGGGAUGCAGGAAAUGUGUCACCUGGUGUCUCCACGCCCAGAAGAACGGUUUAAUACAUGUUCCUUCUCUUUCUGAAGCACAACAAUCAAAUUUAACCGGGCUUCCUCUAUUUUUGUCGGCACGAGCUGACAGCCCUAGUAGUAGGGAGAGGGUAAGCGUCCAUGGAACAAAUGAUGAACUUCCUCCACUUGGCCGUAUCGGAAACUUGCGGUGAAACCCAAGACUCUCUCUCGGCCCGUUUGCCCGGAGUGAACACGGGAGUGCGGGCGGACACUCAAGGGCAGGGAGGCUGCUGCAGAGAAGCGCUGGGGAGCUCGGGUCGCGCCCGCACGGCGGUCGCCACCCACGAUCCCUCGCCCCAGCAGGGGAGGGAGGAGGAAGCCCGAGCGCCACUCACUCCCCAG
Long non-coding RNA from Peromyscus californicus insignis, 5427 nucleotides. RefSeq lists it as uncharacterized. The transcript is spliced from 3 exons. The record is from RefSeq and is a predicted model, not a curated record. Lineage: Eukaryota; Metazoa; Chordata; Mammalia; Rodentia; Cricetidae.